RNAcentral lists this ribosomal RNA (999 nucleotides) under Rhodococcus (subgen. Prescottella) equi. RNAcentral describes it as "Rhodococcus hoagii partial 23S ribosomal RNA". It matches the Rfam family "Bacterial large subunit ribosomal RNA", at positions 1 to 926 of the family's 2925-position model. Lineage: Bacteria; Bacillati; Actinomycetota; Actinomycetes; Mycobacteriales; Nocardiaceae. The record is from RNAcentral.
ACAGUGGACGCGAGCAUCUUUGUUGUAAGUGUUUAAGAGCGUACGGUGGAUGCCUUGGCACCAGGAGCCGAUGAAGGACGUAGGAGGCUGCGAUAAGCCUCGGGGAGCUGUCAACCGAGCUGAGAUCCGAGGAUGUCCGAAUGGGGAAACCCAGCCACAGUGAUGUGUGGUUACCCGCGCCUGAAUAUAUAGGGCGUGUGGAGGGAACGUGGGGAAGUGAAACAUCUCAGUACCCACAGGAAGAGAAAACAACAUGUGAUUCCGUGAGUAGUGGCGAGCGAAAGCGGAAGAGGCUAAACCAUGGGUGUGUGAUAGCCGGCGGGCGUUGCAUUCGUGGGGUUGUGGGAUCGUCUUGUCAAUUCUGCCGGAUUGGCGACAGUGAGAAAUCAUCGUGUUAGUCGAAGUGGUCUGGAACGGCCUGUCGUAGAGGGUGAGAGUCCCGUAGACGAAAACAUGGUGACUGUCGUGACGGACACCCGAGUAGCAGCGGGCCCGUGAAAUCUGCUGUGAAUCUGUCGGGACCACCCGAUAAGCCUGAAUACUCCCUGGUGACCGAUAGCGGACUAGUACCGUGAGGGAAAGGUGAAAAGUACCCCGGGAGGGGAGUGAAAUAGUACCUGAAACCGUGCGCUUACAAUCCGUCAGAGCCUGCGCCACUUUUGGUGGGUGGUGUAUGGCGUGCCUUUUGAAGAAUGAGCCUGCGAGUUAGCGGCAUGUCGCGAGGUUAACCGUGUGGGGUAGCCGUAGCGAAAGCGAGUCCGAAUAGGGCGUUUGUAGUGGCAUGUUCUAGACCGAAGCGGAGUGAUCUACCCAUGGCCAGGGUGAAGCGACGGUAAGACGUCGUGGAGGCCCGAACCCACUUAGGUUGAAAACUGAGGGAUGAGCUGUGGGUAGGGGUGAAAGGCCAAUCAAACUCCGUGAUAGCUGGUUCCCGAAAUGCAUUUAGGUGCAGCGUCGCGGGUUUCACUCUGGAGUAGAGCUACUGGAUGGCCGAUGGCC